GAUGAACGCUAGCGGCAGGCCUAACACAUGCAAGUCGAGGGGCAUCGCGGUGCAGCAAUGCACUGGCGGCGACCGGCGUACGGGUGCGUAACGCGUAUGCAACCUGCCCCGCACCGGGGGAUAGCCCGCCGAAAGGCGGAUUAAUACCCCAUGGUCCCGGGGGCCCGCAUGGGCAUCCGGGUAAAGCCUUGGCGGUGCGGGAUGGGCAUGCGUGCCAUUAGCUGGCUGGUGGGGUAACGGCCCACCAGGGCAACGAUGGCUAGGGGGUCUGAGAGGAUGGUCCCCCACACUGGUACUGAGACACGGACCAGACUCCUACGGGAGGCAGCAGUGAGGAAUAUUGGUCAAUGGGCGGAAGCCUGAACCAGCCAUGCCGCGUGCGGGAUGAAGGCCCUACGGGUUGUAAACCGCUUUUCCCCGGGAAGAAUAACCCCGAUGAGUCGGGGAUGCCGGUACCGGGGGAAUAAGGAUCGGCUAACUCCGUGCCAGCCGCCGCGGUAAACCAGACAGCGUA
Molecule: ribosomal RNA, 514 nt
Filed under: uncultured bacterium
Lineage: Bacteria
Description: bacterial SSU rRNA
Rfam family: Bacterial small subunit ribosomal RNA
Source: RNAcentral